UGGGGGAUAUUGCACAAUGGGCGAAAGCCUGAUGCAGCGACGCCGCGUGGGGGAUGAAGGCCUUCGGGUUGUAAACUUCUUUUGCUCUGAACAAGGCAUGCCUUUGGGGUGUGUUGAGUGUAGGGGUUGAUUAGCGCCGGCUAACUACGUGCCAGCAGCCGCGGUAAUACGUAGGGCGCGAGCGUUGUCCGGAAUUAUUGGGCGUAAAGGGCUUGUAGGUGGCUGGUUGCGUCUGUCGUGAAAGCUCAUGGCUUAACUGUGGGUGUGCGGGGGGUACGGGCUGGCUUGAGUGCAGUAGGGGAGGCUGGAAUUCCUGGUGUAGCGGUGGAAUGCGCAGAUAUCAGGAGGAAUACCGGUGGCGAAGGCGGGUCUCUGGGCUGUUACUGACGCUGAGGAGCGAAAGCGUGGGGAGCGAACAGG
Molecule: ribosomal RNA, 420 nt
Filed under: Fusobacteriota bacterium
Lineage: Bacteria; Fusobacteriati; Fusobacteriota
Description: Fusobacteria bacterium partial 16S ribosomal RNA
Rfam family: Bacterial small subunit ribosomal RNA
Source: RNAcentral